UAUUACUUUCGUUAAUCAGUUUUGGAUUAGUAUUAUUGAGGAAAUUUAAUGGAUUUGGCGGCAAGAUAGCCCAUUUAGAGGAACCUGCCCUGUAAACGAUGAGCCACGAUAGACCUUACUUUCUUUAGCAUUCAGUUUGUAUACCGCUGUUGUCAGUCAGUUUCGCAUAGAAAACUUUCAAUAAUGAUUUAUUCAUAGACUUCAAGUAAAGGUGCAGCUUAUAGGAAAGAUAGAGGUGGGUUACAAUUUUAAGAUAAAAACGGAUAGUGGAAUGAAAAGCCGCUAGAAGGUGGAUUUAAUAGUAAAAWUUGAAAGAAUUUGAUGCGAGCACUAACUUGU
Molecule: ribosomal RNA, 339 nt
Filed under: Octomeris angulosa
Lineage: Eukaryota; Metazoa; Arthropoda; Thecostraca; Balanomorpha; Chthamalidae
Description: partial 12S ribosomal RNA
Source: RNAcentral